Molecule: transfer RNA, 64 nt
Filed under: Hemisodorcus donckieri
Lineage: Eukaryota; Metazoa; Arthropoda; Insecta; Coleoptera; Lucanidae
Description: tRNA-Phe
Source: RNAcentral
ACUUAAAUAGCUUAAUAUAGAGUUAGAUAUUGAAGAUAUCUCGGUGAUUUAAAAUCUUUAAGUA